Molecule: long non-coding RNA, 219 nt
Organism: Ipomoea nil (Japanese morning glory)
Lineage: Eukaryota; Viridiplantae; Streptophyta; Magnoliopsida; Solanales; Convolvulaceae
Exons: 3
Source: RefSeq, a predicted model, not a curated record
ACUGAUGUUGGUUUCAACCCAACGCGAGCAAAGACAAAUUUAACGCAUUACAGUCCUUUUACCAUUGCACUAAAGAACUUUGGCAACAAAACCCCUGAGAAAGAUGUACAUGUUGAAAUUUACAAGGAUGGAAAAGAGUUGUCUUUUUCACAACUAGAAAAGCAAUAUCAUGAAUGGAUCUCUAAGAUGCAUGAAAAAUAUGAUUUGGAAAUUGAAUCA